UCCUUCGCAGGUUGUCACAACAUAAAGGGAGGUUUCCGGUGUGUAUGUGACAGAGGGUUUGUCUCCGGCCCCGGAGAAGGUUCUUUGAACACCAUCACUCACUGUAAAGAUAUCAAUGAGUGUGAGUCCAGCCCGUGUGGCGCCAACGCAACUUGUCACAACUUAAAGGGAGGUUUCCUGUGUGUAUGUGACAAAGGGUUUGUCUCCGGCCCCGGAGAAGGUUCUUUCAACACCAUCACUCACUGUAAAGAUAUCGUAGGACUGUGACCACGAGUCACAGAC
Long non-coding RNA from Callorhinchus milii (elephant shark), 282 nucleotides. RefSeq lists it as uncharacterized. The record is from RefSeq and is a predicted model, not a curated record. The transcript is spliced from 3 exons. NCBI's taxonomy places the organism in Eukaryota, Metazoa, Chordata, Chondrichthyes, Chimaeriformes, Callorhinchidae.